This 460-nucleotide ribosomal RNA is filed under the name uncultured bacterium. RNAcentral's name for it is "partial 16S ribosomal RNA". It matches the Rfam family "Bacterial small subunit ribosomal RNA", at positions 338 to 795 of the family's 1533-position model. The record is from RNAcentral.
CCUACGGGAUGCAGCAGUGAGGAAUAUUGGUCAAUGGGCGCGAGCCUGAACCAGCCAAGUCGCGUGAGGGAAGACGGCCCUACGGGUUGUAAACCUCUUUUGCCGGGGAGCAACGGGCGCCACGUGUGGCGCCACUGAGAGUACCCGGAGAAAAAGCAUCGGCUAACUCCGUGCCAGCAGCCGCGGUAAUAAGGAGGAGGAGAACGUUAACCGUAUUUAUUGGGUUUAAAGGGUGCGUAGGCGGAGCGUUAAGUCAGUGGUCAAAUUGAGGGGCUCAACCCCUUCCCGCCAUGGACACUGGCGCUCUUGAGUGGAAGAGAAGUAUGCGGAAUGCGUGGUGGAGCGGUGAAAUGCAUAGAUAUCACGCAGAACCCCGAUUGCGAAGGCAGCAUGCCGGCUUCCUACUGACGCUGAAGCACGAAAGCGUGGGGAUCGAACAGGAUUAGAUACCCUUGUAGUC